RNAcentral lists this ribosomal RNA (253 nucleotides) under uncultured Nocardioidaceae bacterium. RNAcentral describes it as "partial 16S ribosomal RNA". It matches the Rfam family "Bacterial small subunit ribosomal RNA", at positions 524 to 776 of the family's 1533-position model. The record is from RNAcentral. Lineage: Bacteria; Bacillati; Actinomycetota; Actinomycetes; Propionibacteriales; Nocardioidaceae.
UACGUAGGGUCCGAGCGUUGUCCGGAAUUAUUGGGCGUAAAGGGCUCGUAGGCGGUUUGUCGCGUCGGGAGUGAAAACGCAGGCCUUAAUUCUGCGCUUGCUUUCGAUACGGGCAGACUAGAGGUAUGCAGGGGAGAACGGAAUUCCUGGUGUAGCGGUGAAAUGCGCAGAUAUCAGGAGGAACACCGGUGGCGAAGGCGGUUCUCUGGGCAUGUCCUGACGCUGAGGAGCGAAAGUGUGGGGAGCGAACAGG